AGCUGCAAGGUGGCACCAAGUACUGUCCUCUGUCCUCCACUCCUGCAGGCAGGCCAGCUUCUUUGUCUGCAGUGUGUUUGGGAGCACAUUCACACAUCAAUGCUCCCCCAACACACCCUGCAUCAGAAGACAGAGAACUCAAGGUGUUUGCACUGUGGACAGUGGUGCCUUUGGGGAACCUGCACAUCCCACAACCUAAAGUAUCUUAGAGGGCGAAGACAAGUCUCACUAAAGGCUCACAGGAUUUUGGCAAAACUGUUUCCAGGAAAGAAGAUGGAUACAUAUGGGCAUCACUGUGAGAUCUCCCCUUGUUCCUGGAAUUAUUUAAGAGCUUUGCUGUGUCUGAGCAAGGUGCUCAUGAAGUAUCAAGGGCCACAUUCUACCAUGUGAACCUGAAGAAGGGUGAUAAUACUGCAGCUGUGUGGCAGCUUGUCUCCGAGUGGAAGGAUUAUUACCACCGCCUUUUGACGGGAUGAAUCACCCAGGACGGCUUGAAUGGCUAAAGGGUAGACUUUGAUGUUAUGUCGCUUCAUUUACCCUUAUGACUAAAUGAUUAUUGAUUUUAUAUUUUUAAGCUCUUGAAAUGUGAAAAUAACUCGGUGGAGAAGGUCGGCUGUGUUAGUUUUAUUAAUUUAUUUCUGCAGGGCAUAAUUCACUUUGGG
Molecule: long non-coding RNA, 662 nt
Filed under: Cricetulus griseus (Chinese hamster)
Lineage: Eukaryota; Metazoa; Chordata; Mammalia; Rodentia; Cricetidae
Description: lncRNA (ENSCGRG00015042284.1)
Source: RNAcentral